RNAcentral lists this ribosomal RNA (492 nucleotides) under uncultured bacterium. Its description in RNAcentral is "partial 16S ribosomal RNA". It matches the Rfam family "Bacterial small subunit ribosomal RNA", at positions 29 to 507 of the family's 1533-position model. The record is from RNAcentral.
AGUGAACGCUGGCGGUGGGCCUAACACAUGCAAGUCGAACGGCAGCACAGUAAGAGCUUGCUCUUACGGGUGGCGAGUGGCGGACGGGUGAGGAAUACAUCGGAAUCUACUUUUUCGUGGGGGAUAACGUAGGGAAACUUACGCUAAAACCGCAUACGACCUACGGGUGAAAGCAGGGGAUCUUCGGACCUUGCGCGAUUGAAUGAGCCGAUGUCGGAUUAGCUAGUUGGCGGGGUAAAGGCCCACCAAGGCGACGAUCCGUAGCUGGUCUGAGAGGAUGAUCAGCCACACUGGAACUGAGACACGGUCCAGACUCCUACGGGAGGCAGCAGUGGGGAAUAUUGGACAAUGGGCGCAAGCCUGAUCCAGCCAUACCGCGUGGGUGAAGAAGGCCUUCGGGUUGUAAAGCCCUUUUGUUGGGAAAGAAAAGCAGCAGGUUAAUACCCCGCUGUUCUGACGGUACCCAAAGAAUAAGCACCGGCUAACUUCGUG